This 27-nucleotide non-coding RNA is filed under the name Homo sapiens (human). The record is from RNAcentral. Lineage: Eukaryota; Metazoa; Chordata; Mammalia; Primates; Hominidae.
UGAAUGGAGCUGUUUGAGUGACUUGGA